UACGAAGGGGCUAGCGUUGCUCGGAAUUACUGGGCGUAAAGGGAGCGUAGGCGGACAUUUAAGUCAGGGGUGAAAUCCCGGGGCUCAACCUCGGAAUUGCCUUUGAUACUGGGUGUCUUGAGUAUGAGAGAGGUGUGUGGAACUCCGAGUGUAGAGGUGAAAUUCGUAGAUAUUCGGAAGAACACCAGUGGCGAAGGCGACGCACUGGCUCAUUACUGACGCUGAGGCUCGAAAGCGUGGGGAGCAAACAGGAUUAGAUACCCCGGUAGUCCCU
RNAcentral lists this ribosomal RNA (274 nucleotides) under uncultured prokaryote. RNAcentral's name for it is "partial 16S ribosomal RNA". It matches the Rfam family "Bacterial small subunit ribosomal RNA", at positions 524 to 798 of the family's 1533-position model. The record is from RNAcentral.